UACGUAGGGGGCAAGCGUUAUCCGGAUUUACUGGGUGUAAAGGGAGCGUAGACGGCCAGACAAGUCUGAAGUGAAAAUCCAGCGCUUAACGUUGGAAGUGCUUUGGAAACUGCCGGGCUAGAGUGCAGGAGGGGCAGGCGGAAUUCCUAGUGUAGCGGUGAAGUGCGUAGAUAUUAGGAGGAACACCAGUGGCGAAGGCGGCCUGCUGGACUGCAACUGACGUUGAGGCGCGAAAGCGUGGGGAGCAAACAGG
RNAcentral lists this ribosomal RNA (253 nucleotides) under uncultured bacterium. Its description in RNAcentral is "partial 16S ribosomal RNA". It matches the Rfam family "Bacterial small subunit ribosomal RNA", at positions 524 to 776 of the family's 1533-position model. The record is from RNAcentral.